ACCAAACUCCCUUCUGCGAAAUGC
Molecule: non-coding RNA, 24 nt
Filed under: Arabidopsis thaliana (thale cress)
Lineage: Eukaryota; Viridiplantae; Streptophyta; Magnoliopsida; Brassicales; Brassicaceae
Source: RNAcentral